Molecule: ribosomal RNA, 452 nt
Filed under: Gorgoniapolynoe cf. caeciliae NHMUK 2021.996
Lineage: Eukaryota; Metazoa; Annelida; Polychaeta; Phyllodocida; Polynoidae
Description: partial large subunit ribosomal RNA
Rfam family: Bacterial large subunit ribosomal RNA
Source: RNAcentral
CAUCGUUUUCAGCUACUAUAUUGAAAAUACUCCCUGCCCAGUGACUAAAUGUUUAACGGCCGCGGUAUCCUGACCGUGCAAAGGUAGCAUAAUCAUUUGCCUUUUAAUUGAAGGCUAGUAUGAAUGGGUAGACGAAGAUUCAUCUGUCUCUAUAAUAAUAAUAAAACUUAAAUUUUAGGUGAAGAUGCCUAAAUCUACUAGAAAGACAAGAAGACCCUAUAGAGUUUUAGUUAUAAUUUAUUACUCUAAUAUAAUAUAACUUUGGUUGGGGCGACCUAGGAUUAUUAAACAUCCUACUAUUUUUUGAUACAUUUAUCUUAUUAAUUGACCCUAAUUAUGGAUUAUCAGAAAUAACUACCUUAGGGAUAACAGGCUUAUCUUCCUAGAGAGCUCUUAUUGAUAGGAUGGUUUGGCACCUCGAUGUUGGCUUAGAGUAACUUAAUACCGCAGCA